CAAAGACCUUUUUUCUGCAGGUUAUCACCUGAACAGGAAAGAUAGAUUAUUCUUAUUAAUUUGGUAACAUUUUAUUGAGUGGUUAUUGUAUGCACAGCAAUGUGCUAAAUGUUAAAAGGGUAUUUAUUCUCUUUCAUCCUUUUGUAUUGAAAAGCAUUCAGCCUGUUGAUGCUUAGAUAGUAAGUUCCUGUCCUUACAGAGCUUACAUUCUAGUGAGAGAGACAGGGAGGAAAAAGAUAAAAAUAAUAACAGUAAGUUACAGUAAAUCAUAGUAGGUACUAGGAAACACACAGAUGAGCCGCUGAGAUGAGCCCUACCUCAGAUACAGUGGGCAGAUAAGGCUACUCAAAGGAUGGGGCUGAGACUAGAGGGUGAGAAGAGGCUGCUGCACAGAGUGUGGGGAAGCCCAUCCUGGUGUCCUCAAUUGCCAACGGUGGGACUUGGGGCAAUUUAACCUCUCCGUGUCUUUGUUUCCUCAUCCGUGUCUUUGUUUCCUCAUCCGUAAAAGGUGAAGCAGGAUAGUAGGUAUUUCACACCACGGUUGUGGAGGCUAAACGUGUGCGUCUUCAGAGGGUAUUUAGAACAGGGCCUAGCAUGGAGCAAGAGCAAAAUAAAUCCUAGUUAUUCCUGCUAGUCCAAAAGAGGGACUGGCAUGUGCCAAAGCCUGAGGCAGGAAAGAUCUUUGGCAGAUGAAUUAAAGUGAAGCAAGAUGAGAGUGGCUAGAGCAGAGAAGGCAAGGAGGUGAGUGGCCCAAGAUGAGGCUACAAACAUAGAUGGGGUCAGAUCAUGCAGGCCCUUGGGGUUCAUAGUAAAGAGUUUGGAUUUUUUUUUUUUUUUUCUUAGUGAAAUCCGAAGCCACUGAAGAAUUUAAGCUGGAGAUUGAUGUCACUGGAUUUGUGUUUUAAGAUGAUCCCUUUACCUGCUGUGUGGAGAACAGCCUGGAGGGGGCAAGAGUAAAGAGAGAGUGACCGAGCAGACAGGAGGAUGCGGUACAGUGGUUGGGGCGGGAGAUGGAUGAUGGUGGCUGGGCUGAGGUGGAGGGAGGGAAAUGAGGAGAGUGGUUUCAAGAUAUACUUUGGAAACAGACUGGGCAGUAUUUGUGAAUUAAGUGAAUUAAGAGGAAAGAGAAAACAGGGGGGAGAUCAAGGCAAGGCUGCCGUACACAGCUGUGCAGAAUGUUCACGCCUGAGUGUGCUGAGCUGACAUGGGCAUAUGAACGCUGACAUCCAGCAGACACUUGGUUCACAAAGUCCUGUCCCCUGGCAUGGGUCGCAUGUCCUUGCAAGGAGUGCCUUUUUCUGAUUUCUACAAAGGCAGUCCGUAGGCUGGGAGCAGUCCCACACUUUAAUUCUGGCUUGGGUACUAGGUAAAUGAUGUUGCCACUAUAAGAAAUGAGAGCACCGGGAGGGAGGUGAGAAAAAAUCAAGAGCUUUGGCCUUGGCGAGGUCUCAGAGGUCCCCGAGAUUCCAAGUAGAGAUUUUAGAUUGGUAGUUGGCUGCUUGAUACUGAUCUUCUUUGACCUGAUCUUGUUAUUUCCCAUAAUUUGCCUGUAGAUGGGAUUUUACUCAACAAAAUCAUUAUUCACAAAUAAUGGCAAUUUUAUUAAUUCCUAUCCAGUCUCUGUGUGCAUAUAUAAUUAUAUUUUAAUAUAUUAUGAUUAUAAUAUAUAAAAAAAUGCAUAUUCUUUUUGCCUUACUGCACUUGCUCAGGCCUCCAGAGUAAGGUUAAAUAUAAAGAAUGUAGGUGAUCAUCCUUGCCUUAUCCCAGGUCUCAGAGACAAAGUUUUUAGUCUAUCUCCAUUAAGUAUAAUGGCUAAUUGUUUCUUUGUCAAGACCCUUAUCAGAUUAACAAAGUUAUUUUCUAUUCCUAAAUGUUAAAGAGUAGAUCAAGAAGAUGUGGUACAUAUAAAAAACAAUGGAAUAUUACUCAGCCAUUAAAAGGAAUGAAAUACCUUCAUUUUUAGCAACAUGGAUGGACCUAGAAAUUAUCAUGCUGAGUGAAGUCAGUCAGACAAUGAGACACCAAUAUCAAAUGCUUUCACCAACACGUGGAAUCUGAAAAAAGGACACAAUGAACUUCUCUGCAGAACAGAUACUGACUCACAGGCUUUGAAAAACUUAUGGUUUCCAAAGGAGACAGUUUGGAGGAUGGCGGAGGCACUGGGGCUGUGGGAUAGAAAUCCUAUAAAAUUGGAUUGUGAUGAUCAUUGUACAACUAUAAAUAAAAUAAAUUCACUGAGUAAUAAAAAAAGAAUGUUAAAUUUCAUCAGAUGUUUUUUCUGAAUCUAUUGAGAUAGUCAUGUUUUCUCUCAUAAUUUCCCUUUCUUCCUCAUAAUAUCCUUGAAUCUUGCUGAGAGGGUUAUGCUGGUAUCAUGAAGCGGGUCACUCACUUUCCAUCCUUUGGGACAAGUUGUAUUAGAACUGAUUCAUCUCUUCCUUAAGUUUUUGAUAGAAUUUAUUGGUGAAGUUAUCUGAACCUGGACUUUACUUUGUGGAAAGGAUUUUGAAUAUGGAUUCAUUUUCUGUAAUAGUUAUAAGAUUAUUCGGAUUUUUCUAUUUUGUCUCUUUCAUUACUUUUAGAAAAUUACGUUUCCCCAGGAAUUUGUCCAUUCCAUCUAAAUUUUCAAAUUUAUUGACAAAGUUGUUAAUGAUGAUGAUGAUAAUGAUAUUCUCUUACUAUCCCUUUAAAAUAUGAAUUUGUGUCUUCUCUCUCUUUUUUCUUGGUCAGUCUAGUCAGAGGCUUAUCCCAAAGAAUCAUCUUUGGGGCAUGACUGCUAAUGGUACAGUUUCUUUUUGUGGUUCUGAAAAUGUUUGGAAAUUAAAUACUAGUGAUGAUGGUACAACUCUAUGAAUACACUAAAAAAUCACUGAAUUGUACGUGUUAAAAGGAUGAAUUUUAUGCAUUUGAAUUAUAUAAUACAGCUGUUAUUAAUAUAUAUGUAAAUAUUAAUAAUAAUAAAAUGAUAUGACCAAUAUAACCUGUAUAUUGAAGUGAAGUUUACAAUGCUUGCCUACAUCAGGGCUUCUAAUAAUAUUGUUUGUCUUAGUUUUUUACACUGUAAUGUUCUCUCUACCACACAGCUGUUGGCAAAUAAACCACAUUUAGUAUUGUCAAGAAGGUAAGAUUUAACGUGACUUCUUUAAAACUUUAACAUUUGAAAUAAUAACUAUUAAUUUCCAGAGAAUACGGGUACAGGUUCUAUCCAUAGAGACCAAACAAAUCUAAGGAAAGUAGGUCACAGAACACAAUCUGAUUCAAACUUGGCACUAAAUGAUGCAAUGUUUUUUUCUUCACAUAAUCAUGAUGUUCUAAUCAUUCUGUGAUUCUGACCUUUAAGUCAGUGGGUAGUCUAUUAUUACUUGGUAGCUGCUGAAUCCAGAGUCAACAUUUUGGAAGCUAAAGAAUGCCCAUCUUCUUUCAAAAUUCUUUGGCUUACUAAAAGCUGAGCCUAGCUAAAAGCUCUUGCCAAGGUUUAGUUAUUUUAUGCAUAUGAACUAAAACAACAAACAGAAUAUAAUUAGCAGAGGAUUAAAAAAUAGAGAAUAUAUUUCUUUUCUAACAUAUUACACAUGUAAAACACACUGAAUAUAUUUGACAUUUAAAAAAAUGAUCUUCAAGCAUAUUGUAAUCUUAAAUUAUAGAUCAGAUUUUCUUAUUUCUCGAAAUGUUCUUUCUUUUUUCUACAGAUGGUAGACCAAAAUACAAUUUGUCAUAUUAGAAAUGUAAUAUUUUAAGAACUCCAAUGACAAAGUAUCUGUUCUAUCUACAGGCUAUCAAUAAGAUACAUUUCUUGCUUCUGAAAGAUAUAUACAAUCCAUUCAGGAGCUAUUAUUCAUUUAUAUUAGCAAUAUAUAAAGUGUUCAAGUAAUUUUAAAAUAUUAUCAGCUUUUCUAGGAUAUUGAUCACCUUUCCUUCACAUCCAAAGUUUCUUUUUCUUUUUCUUUUUUUUCAGGGCUGCACUCAUGGCAUAUGGAGGUUCACAGGCUAGGGGUCGAACUGAAUCAGAGCUGUAGUUGCUGGCCUACACCACAACCACACACUACCAGCUCCAAGCCGUGUCUUCGACCUACACCACAGUUCUCAGCAAUGCCAGAUGCUUAAUCCACUGAGUGAGGCCAGGGAUCAAACCUGCAUCCUCAUGGAUACUAGUUAGAUUCAUUUCUGCUGAGCCACAAUGGGAACACCCAAAGUUUCUUUCUUAACAAAAAAAAAAUUCCCAAGAAACAUAAAAUACCAAGAGAUGAUUAGAGGUACAUAUAAAAACCUUUAAGGUGAUUUGAAGUCUUGACUCAACUCUAAACAAAUGUAAUUUCACUUUUACUGACGAAUGUGUAGCUUCAAUAUAGUGAUUUACUUGAUAUAGUAAAAUAAUAUAUUUAUUUGGUAUAGUCUUUGGAAAACUAGAUACUCUAAAAUGGUCUCCAACGACGAUAAGGUUCUUUUUUUCGAGGCAUAUUGACGUACAAUAUUAUAUAAGUUUCAGGUAUACAAUAUGGUGAGUCACACUAUUUAACGGUUAUACUCCAUUUAUAGUUAUAGGAGUUGCCAUCAUGACUAAGCAGUUAAUGAACCCAACUAGCAUCCGUGAGGAUGCAGGUUCAAUCCCUGGCCUUGCUCAGUAGGUUAAGGAAGUGGCAUUGCCGUGAGCUGUGGUGUAGGUCACAGAUGUGGCUCAGAUCCUGCAAUGCUGUGGCUGUGGCGUAGGCCAGCGGCUACAGCUCAGAUUGGACCCCAGCCUGGGAACCUCCAUAUGCCGGGGGUGUGGCUCUAAAAAGGCAAACCAACCAACAAACAAAACCAUUUAUAGUUAUAAGACACUGGCUGUACUCCCUGUGUUGUACAAUAUAUCUUUGCAGCUUAUUUAUUUUACACAUAGUAGUUUGGACUAUAAGGUUCUUAACACUUAACAAUUUAACACCCUUUGGCUAUGAGAAUGAAAAGAAUUAAGUUCAAACGACUUAAAAUGCAGGUGCAUGUCGAGGAAUGGAAACCCAAAAUGACAAAUACAAUUUCAGAUUCAGUAACCUAUGUCCUUUAAAUAACUUUUGCUGUGAGAUGUUAAAGUACUGUGAGAAAAUGGAAGUGUGAAAAAAUGGUUUAUUAAAUAUUCAUUCUUGAAACUAUGCCUUCAUGCAUUCAAUGAUGCAUAAAAAACCUUUAGUGUCAGACCCAAGAGAAAAUCCUUCUGACCCCUUACAGACAAAUGACUUGUAUACCUAUUUUAUAAAAAUUCCUACACAUUAGCAAAGAAACGUACACAAAUCAAUAGAAUAAUGUGUUUUAGGUAUGGGCUGGCAAUUCACCAAAGAAGUACAAAUACAAAAUAUACGUAUGAAAGAAUGCUGAACCAGCUAAAACAUAUGUUAAAAUAAAUAUGGUAUUUUUUUCUGAUCGCAUUAGAAGAAUGUAAAAGAGUGAUACCAACAACUGUUGGACAGGUGUGAGGUAUGGGGAAAUGAGCUUUCUGUUCUGGAUGGAAGUAUACAUUUGUACAAACUUUUGGAGUGUAAUGUAAUUUUCCUUAUUAAAAUCUUAAAAGCCUAUAUCCAAUUACUUAGUAACACUACUUCUAGGAAUCCAUCUUAUAGACACGGUUACAUGAGAAUGUAAAACUAAAAUAGAGCGUGGUCAUUACAUCAUUGUUAGUAACAGCUAAAAUUUAGGAACAGCUCACAUACCUACUGAUGAGCGAAUGGUUGAGUGAACGAAGAAGCAGACCUAAAACACCUGGAAGCAUUUAAAAGAGCACCGCUGGAAAUCCAGCGCACUGGCGACACUCUUUUUCUCAGCCUGAGCAGUCGAUGCCUGGAUGUUCACUACGCACGUAUUUAUUUGCAUAUAUAACUGUACAUGCUUUUGUAAACCAUUAUCUAUUAAGAUUUAUUUUGUGCUAAUAGAUAAAACUUUAAGAGUAAACAAGACUGUAGAAUUCUUCCUUUCUAGCAAAUAAAAUUCACUUUGGGAGAUGGAAGGCAUUCGGGAGUUCCCAUUGUGGCUCAGCGGAAACGAAUCCGACUAGGAACCAUGAGGUUAUGGGUUCAAUCCUUGGCCCCGCUCAGUGGGUUAAGAAUCCAGCAUUGCCAUGACUCUGGCAUAGGUUGGCGGCUACAGCUCUCCUAGCCUGGGAACCUCCGUAUGCGGCAGGUGUAGCCCUAAAAAGCAAAAAAGCCAAAAAAAAAAAAAAAAAAAAAAAA
This 6194-nucleotide long non-coding RNA is filed under the name Sus scrofa (pig). Its description in RNAcentral is "lncRNA (ENSSSCG00000043670.1)". Lineage: Eukaryota; Metazoa; Chordata; Mammalia; Artiodactyla; Suidae. The record is from RNAcentral.